AAAUUUUUCUAUCAGAGGAAUUGAGUAUUGGGAGGCUUUUGAUUUGGGUAGACAUCAAAUCGCUUGAUUAUUACGGUAAGAUGCGGCAGAAAUCUUGCAGGAAAUUCCAGACAUAUCUAUCAUGGAUUGAAUAAACUAGUACUCGAAUCCAAGGUCUCUUUUUCAGUUUUUGGCAUCAGAGAUUCAUAUGGCUUGGCACCAGACUUGUUGCAUUUGAAUUAGUACUCUUUUGUGUUAGCUGUUAACUAUCUUAUGUCUAUUGUUGCUUUUGAAUUACUGAAUUAGAACUCUUUUGUGUUAAAAAAACGUCUGUACUCUAGUUUGUAACUUUCUAGUUUCUAUACUUAGUUUUUUUUU
This is a long non-coding RNA of Papaver somniferum (opium poppy), 357 nucleotides long. RefSeq lists it as uncharacterized. The record is from RefSeq and is a predicted model, not a curated record. The transcript is spliced from 2 exons. Lineage: Eukaryota; Viridiplantae; Streptophyta; Magnoliopsida; Ranunculales; Papaveraceae.